GGUCGCCAUGGGAACGCGGGGGCCGCGCUCGGCCCCGGCGGGGCCCGCGGCCUUCGGGGCGCCGCUCGCCAAACGGCGCCGCUUCCCCUCUCCUGGAGACGCCCGCCCUCCUCCGAGAACGGCGCUGCACGCCCCCCGCUCCCGCAGAGGGAUGUGCCCGAGGCAGGAGCGGCGUCCCCACGGCGGGGAGGGAACGGGAGCGGGAGAGCGCCCGGUGCUCCUGGCAGAUCCUCUUUUCACCUCCUCUCCGGGCAGAAGAACACAUCCUUUUGCAAAAACCAGCCGUGGCUGGCACCACAGGGGCAGGAAGCCAGGCCAAGGCAAACUGUGGCUUUGCCCACGUCACUUUGGGGAACACGAGCACCCCAAACUCGGCAGGUCGGGCAGCACAGCCUCAGCCUCUGGAUCCAGCCUCCUGCAGGGAGAUUUGCUUCCCCUGUGGCACCCGCUGGCUGAGGAGCCAAAUGGACAGCACGGCAGGAAGCAGCACUAAACACAGCAAGGGAGCCCAGCGUGGACUGGUUAUAAAACCCUCUGCCUUCGUUUUAUUGCCUUUGGUAAAGCUUGGUAAAUAUUUCUGGGACAGGCAACUCCUUGUCUGGCUUUAAUUACCUGGGCAAAUUUUCCUAAGGAUUAUAUUGACCUCAAAUAUG
Passer domesticus (house sparrow) is the source of this 653-nucleotide long non-coding RNA. RefSeq lists it as uncharacterized. The record is from RefSeq and is a predicted model, not a curated record. The transcript has 2 exons. NCBI's taxonomy places the organism in Eukaryota, Metazoa, Chordata, Aves, Passeriformes, Passeridae.